GAUGAACGCUAGCGGGAGGCCUAACACAUGCAAGCCGAGCGGUAUUGUUUCUUCGGAAAUGCGAGAGCGGCGUACGGGUGCGUAACACGUGUGCAACCUGCCUUUAUCUGGGGGAUAGCCUUUCGAAAGGAAGAUUAAUACUCCAUAAUAUAUUGAACGGCAUCGUUUAAUAUUGAAAGCUCCGGCGGAUAGAGAUGGGCACGCGCAAGAUUAGCUAGUUGGUGAGGUAACGGCUCAGCAAGGCGAUGAUCUUUAGGGGGCCUGAGAGGGUGAUCCACCAGACUGGAAACGAGGCACGGACCAGUCUGCGACGGAGCGGAGGAGUAAGGAAUGUAGGUCGAGGAGUGCAAACCUGAACCAGCCGCGCCAGUGGAAGAGCGACUGCCCUAGGGGAUGUAAGCUACUUUGGUAUAGGGAAAAAGCAAGCCACGAGGGAGGAGCUGAAGGUACUUAACGAAAAAGCACCGGCUAACUCCGUG
Molecule: ribosomal RNA, 479 nt
Filed under: uncultured bacterium
Lineage: Bacteria
Description: partial 16S ribosomal RNA
Rfam family: Bacterial small subunit ribosomal RNA
Source: RNAcentral